AGGACCAGUCGGCCUGUUCUGUCCUCCCCACUGCCCAUCACCAUUGAAGAUGGCAGUUACACUGGUCCCAUCUGAGGAAGCUCUUCUUGUCCAGCCCUGCCACACAGAGAACCCACAUCAGAGUUGAAGAGCCCGUGGGCCACAGUGGUGCUAGGGUUUUGCACCGUUUGUAUCUCAGUUAAUCCCCUGUUUGAAUCUCCCCCAGUCUCCUUUUGCCUUCUGUGCUAGCUUCCUGGGGUAGCUCCUGGGACAGGUGCAGAUGUGGAUAUUGCUGAAUUACCUGGAUCUCACAGGUUCUGGAAGCACCUGCUUGGGCUACCAGGACAUACGUGGGGUCUGGGAGUUCCCUUAGGACAUGUGGGUGGAAUUCAGGGCUGCAUUCUCAGGGUGAGUUGAACCUUUCCUGUGUCCGACUGGUGGGAUGUGCGGUCCAGGACUGUAGAUCGCUUAUGGAAAGACGUCUUAAGUUUCUACCUCAGUUUGGGCAGCAGCCGUCCUUGGGACACAUGGACAUGAUCUGCUGCUUUCAACAUUAGAGGAGAGUCCUUGGCCUUAGGACAUGCACCGGAGGCACCCGAUGGCCACCCAGGUCAGAGAGGGCCAUUUUCAGGCCUGCAAGCUGCUGACACCAGUGGCUGAGAUGGUGUCAUGGUACCAGACCCUGGACUCGAGAUCUCCAGAACAUCAUUCUUUGUUCUACUUUUGGGUACCAGACAGAGCCUCUUCUAUACCCUUUCCCCCAAGUGUGCUAACUUGGCCCUCAGCCCAGUCCUGCUUAGUGCCAAGGUAGAGGUAAAGAUGAGUGGAUUCCCAGGAUAGCCAGGCACUCCAUGCCUAGUUCUCAUGCCAUCCCCAGCAACCUGUGCCUUUUAUCAUUGGAUGAAAGGUUCCCACAGAGUAGGACCAUACCUCCAAAUGAUACUCCUCUUGCCCUCUGCUGACUGAGGAUGCUUGGUCCUUCCACAAGGGAACCGGUCUCCAUGCACCUCACACUGUUCUUGAUCUAGAGCCCCAAGAUCUGCCGCAGUAAGCGAGGGACUAGUUUGCUGUCUUAAAUGAGUCCUUUAGGAUGCAGAAAGCCCCACAUCCCUAGGUGUGUAGCCUGUGGUGGGUGUGGCUGUGUUUAUAGCCCAAGGCCUGCCUGCACCUGAAGCUGAGGAGUGAUUGGAGGCUCCUGGAGGAUGUAGGCUAUUUGGGAGUGUCAUGGUUACCCUUCAUGGCAACCCUGCGACUUUUAGUUCCAGUUCCAGUGGAGAAGUACAUUUUUCACUUGGGAGGCAGAAGCAGGCAGAUUUCUGAGUUCGAGGCCAGCCUGGUCUACAAAGUGAUUUCCAUGACAGCCAGGGCUAUACAGAGAAACCCUGUCUCAAAAAAACAAAACAAACAACAACAAAAAAAAGUACUUUUUUUUUUUUUUUUUUUUUAGGAGGGUUGGGGGCCUCCAAAUGAACAGCUCUGUAUCAUACACAAGCCUUGAGUGGGAGACAUCAAGUAGGUCCAGGCUUGAUCCAAGCUCAUCAUUUGCAGGCCACUAUCCCUUAAUAAAUGUCACACGGACCCUAUUAAAUCCUAUAGUGGAUGUAAAGGGAGGCUCAACCUUGUAACUGCUCAGAAUUAAACGACUGCCCUUUCUU
RNAcentral lists this long non-coding RNA (1634 nucleotides) under Mus musculus (house mouse). Its description in RNAcentral is "long non-coding RNA chr11:114870961-114872595". The record is from RNAcentral. Lineage: Eukaryota; Metazoa; Chordata; Mammalia; Rodentia; Muridae.